Molecule: ribosomal RNA, 439 nt
Filed under: uncultured bacterium
Lineage: Bacteria
Description: partial 16S ribosomal RNA
Rfam family: Bacterial small subunit ribosomal RNA
Source: RNAcentral
CUACGGGCCGCAGCAGUGAGGAAUAUUGCACAAUGGGGGGAACCCUGAUGCAGCAACGCCGCAUGGAGGAUGACGCAUUUCGGUGUGUAAACUCCUUUUAUAUGUCAAGAAAAUGACGGUAGCAUAUGAAUAAGCACCGGCUAACUCCGUGCCAGCAGCCGCGGUAAUACGGAGGGUGCAAGCGUUACUCGGAAUCACUGGGCGUAAAGGACGCGUAGGAGGGUUGGAAAGUCAGGUGUGAAAUCCUACAGCUUAACUGUAGAACUGCACUUGAAACUUCUAAUCUAGAGUAUGGGAGGGGGAGAUGGAAUUAGUGGUGUAGGGGUAAUAUCCGUAGAUAUCACUAGGAAUACCUAAAGCGAAGGCGAUCUCCUGGAACAUUACUGACGCUAAGGCGUGAAAGCGUGGGGAGCAAACAGGAUUAGAUACCCGGGUAGUC